Non-coding RNA from Acanthosepion pharaonis, 89 nucleotides. Lineage: Eukaryota; Metazoa; Mollusca; Cephalopoda; Sepiida; Sepiidae. The record is from the annotation of a GenBank genome assembly.
GUGACAUCAAGAUGAAACACCGGUUCCCGUACGAUCACCGAAGUUAAGCAAUGCCGAGCCUGGUCAGUACCUAGAUGGGUAUUCACUUA